Molecule: non-coding RNA, 30 nt
Filed under: Rattus norvegicus (Norway rat)
Lineage: Eukaryota; Metazoa; Chordata; Mammalia; Rodentia; Muridae
Source: RNAcentral
UGAACAUUUGCGAGCAUGAGUGCCAGUUAC